Molecule: ribosomal RNA, 253 nt
Filed under: uncultured bacterium
Lineage: Bacteria
Description: partial 16S ribosomal RNA
Rfam family: Bacterial small subunit ribosomal RNA
Source: RNAcentral
UACGGAGGGUGCGAGCGUUGUCCGGAAUCACUGGGCGUAAAGAGCUCGUAGGCGGUUUGUCACGUCUGCUGUGAAAUCCCGAGGCUCAACCUCGGGCCUGCAGUGGGUACGGGCAGACUGGAGUGCGGUAGGGGAGAAUGGAAUUCCUGGUGUAGCGGUGGAAUGCGCAGAUAUCAGGAGGAACACCGAUGGCGAAGGCAGUUCUCUGGGCCGUAACUGACGCUGAGGAGCGAAAGCGUGGGGAGCGAACAGG